This 1336-nucleotide ribosomal RNA is filed under the name uncultured bacterium. Its description in RNAcentral is "bacterial SSU rRNA". It matches the Rfam family "Bacterial small subunit ribosomal RNA", at positions 27 to 1381 of the family's 1533-position model. The record is from RNAcentral.
GGACGAACGCUGGCGGCGUGCCUAACACAUGCAAGUCGAGCGGGGACAUUUUUUGAGCAAUCGGGAGAUGUUUUAGCGGCGGACGGGUGAGUAACGCGUGAGCAACCUGCCUAUCACAGGGGGAUAAGGCGGCGAAAGCCGCUCUAAUACCGCAUGAGACCACAGGGCCUAUGGGUCCGGGGGUUAAAGGAGCAAUCCGGUGAGAGAUGGGCUCGCGUCCGAUUAGGUAGUAGGUGAGGUAACGGCCCACCUAGCCAAUGAUCGGUAGCCGGCCUGAGAGGGUGAACGGCCACAUUGGAACUGAGACACGGUCCAAACUCCUACGGGAGGCAGCAGUGGGGAAUAUUGGGCAAUGGGGGAAACCCUGACCCAGCAACGCCGCGUGAGGGAAGAAGGUUUUCGGAUUGUAAACCUCUGUUCUUGGGGAAGAGUGGAAGACGGUACCCAAGGAGGAAGCCCCGGCUAACUACGUGCCAGCAGCCGCGGUAAUACGUAGGGGGCGAGCGUUGUCCGGAAUGAUUGGGCGUAAAGGGCGCGUAGGCGGCCUAUCAAGUCAGUAGUGGAAGUCCAAUUUUCAAGAUUGGAAGUGCUAUUGAAACUGAAUGGCUUGAGUGCAGGAGAGGUUAUCGGAAUUCCCGGUGUAGCGGUGAAAUGCGUAGAGAUCGGGAGGAACACCAGUGGCGAAGGCGGGUAACUGGACUGCAACUGACGCUGAUGCGCGAAAGUGUGGGGAGCAAACAGGAUUAGAUACCCUGGUAGUCCACGCCGUAAACGGUGGGCACUAGGUGUGGGGAGGAGUCAACCCUCUCCGUGCCGCAGCUAACGCAUUAAGUGCCCCGCCUGGGGAGUACGGCCGCAAGGCUAAAACUCAAAGGAAUUGACGGGGGCCCGCACAAGCGGCGGAGCAUGUUGCUUAAUUCGAGGCAACGCGAAGAACCUUACCUGGGUUUGACAUGGUGGUAGUAGUGAAGCGAAAGCGGAACGAUCCUUCGGGAAGCCAUCACAGGUGCUGCAUGGCUGUCGUCAGCUCGUGCCGUGAGGUGUUGGGUUAAGUCCCGCAACGAGCGCAACCCUCGCUGUUAGUUACAUGUGUCUAACGGGACUGCCGGUAUCAAACCGGAGGAAGGUGGGGAUGACGUCAAGUCAGCAUGGCCUUUAUAUCCAGGGCUACACACACGCUACAAUGGCUGGUACAAUGGGUUGCCAAGCCGCGAGGCGGAGCUAAUCUCAAAAAACCGGCCUCAGUUCGAAUUGCAGGCUGCAACUCGCCUGCAUGAAGUCGGAGUUGCUAGUAAACGCCGGUCAGCUAUACGGCGUUGAAUAUGCUCCCGGGCCU